AUUGAACGCUGGCGGAAUGCUUUACACAUGCAAGUCGAACGGCAGCACGGACUUCGGUCUGGUGGCGAGUGGCGAACGGGUGAGUAAUGUAUCGGAACGUGCCCAGUCGUGGGGGAUAACGUAGUGAAAAUUACGCUAAUACCGCAUACGAUCUAUGGAUGAAAGCGGGGGAUCGCAAGACCUCGCGCGAUUGGAGCGGCCGAUAUCAGAUUAGGUAGUUGGUGGGGUAAAGGCCCACCAAGCCAACGAUCUGUAGCUGGUCUGAGAGGACGACCAGCCACACGUGAACUGAGACACGGGCCAGACUACUACGGGAGGCAGCAGUGGGGAAUUUUGGACAAUGGGCGAAAGCCUGAUCCAGCCAUUCCGCGUGCAGGAUGAAGGCCCUCGGGUUGUAAACUGCUUUUGUACAGAACGAAAAGGUUUCUACUAAUACUAGGAGCUCAUGACGGUACUGUAAGAAUAAGCACCGGCUAACUACGUGCCAGCCGCCGCCGUAA
RNAcentral lists this ribosomal RNA (500 nucleotides) under uncultured bacterium. RNAcentral describes it as "partial 16S ribosomal RNA". It matches the Rfam family "Bacterial small subunit ribosomal RNA", at positions 30 to 523 of the family's 1533-position model. The record is from RNAcentral.